Molecule: long non-coding RNA, 373 nt
Filed under: Gossypium barbadense (sea-island cotton)
Lineage: Eukaryota; Viridiplantae; Streptophyta; Magnoliopsida; Malvales; Malvaceae
Description: long non-coding RNA (GBAR_LNC020069)
Source: RNAcentral
UGCACAAUUUAUGCUAGAAGAUUUGUUCAAACCAGUUCCAGCAUUAGCUUCAGACACAGCAGGACGAGGUCCAGAUGAAGCACGCUUUUCAGUUGCAAGGGCAAAUGGCUGCGGAACAGUGUGCUUCGUUCGAACAUUUGCUGCAGCAGGUUUUGAUACAUGUUUGGAUACUCUCGUUUUAUUAUUCUUUGUUCUGGCAGUUUCAUGUUUGACCUCAUCCUCAGGCAGGCCAGCGUAUAGAUUGGAGUUUAACAUGCUCUGCUCUUCCUUGGCAUUCUCAAUUUGACUUUGUUCAGAUUUCACAACUGAAUCUUCAGUAGUGCAUUCCUUCACCUCAUAUUCUUUUGCUUCGGUGCCUUCAUCUGUACCUUGG